UGAACGACUUCGUCUACGCUCCACUCCAGAGGAUUUCUGUCCAAAACCAGCUGUCCCUCCUCCUCCACCAUCUGACACACAUACAAAAAGCACACGUGUU
Etheostoma cragini (Arkansas darter) is the source of this 100-nucleotide long non-coding RNA. RefSeq lists it as uncharacterized. NCBI's taxonomy places the organism in Eukaryota, Metazoa, Chordata, Actinopteri, Perciformes, Percidae. The record is from RefSeq and is a predicted model, not a curated record. The transcript is spliced from 3 exons.